GAUGAACGCUGACAGAAUGCUUAACACAUGCAAGUCGACUCGAGUCUUCGGACUUGGGUGGCGCACGGGUGAGUAACGCGUAAAGAACUUGCCUCUUAGACCGGGACAACAUCUGGAAACGGAUGCUAAUACCGGAUAUUAUGGUCUUUUCGCAUGGAGGAAUCAUGAAAGCUAGAUGCGCUAAGAGAGAGCUUUGCGUCCCAUUAGCUGGUUGGUGAGGUAACGGCCCACCAAGGCAAUGAUGGGUAGCCGGCCUGAGAGGGUGAACGGCCACAAGGGGACUGAGACACGGCCCUUACUCCUACGGGAGGCAGCAGUGGGGAAUAUUGGACAAUGGACCGCAAGUCUGAUCCAGCAAUUCUGUGUGCACGAUGACGUUUUUCGGAAUGUAAAUUGCUUUCAGUCGGGAAUAAGUCAGUGACGGUACCGACAGAAGAAUCGACGGCUAAAUACGUGCCAGCAGCCGCGGUAAUACGUAUGUCGCAAGCGUUAUCCGGAUUUAUUGGGCGUAAAGCGCGUCUAGGCGGCAAUGAAAGUCUGAUUUUAAUAUGCGGAGCUCAUCUCCUUAUGGCGUUGGAUAUUGCCUUACUAGAGUAUUGGUGAGGUAGUGGAACUACAAUUUGUAGAUGGUGAAAUUUGUUAUUUUUGUAGGAUGCCGAUUGGGAAAUCAGCCUUCUGGUUGUAUUCUGAUGCUUAUGUUCGUAUGCUUUUGUUUCUAUAGU
This 722-nucleotide ribosomal RNA is filed under the name uncultured Fusobacterium sp. Its description in RNAcentral is "bacterial SSU rRNA". It matches the Rfam family "Bacterial small subunit ribosomal RNA", at positions 28 to 775 of the family's 1533-position model. The record is from RNAcentral. Lineage: Bacteria; Fusobacteriati; Fusobacteriota; Fusobacteriia; Fusobacteriales; Fusobacteriaceae.